Long non-coding RNA from Aedes aegypti (yellow fever mosquito), 275 nucleotides. RefSeq lists it as uncharacterized. Lineage: Eukaryota; Metazoa; Arthropoda; Insecta; Diptera; Culicidae. The transcript is spliced from 2 exons. The record is from RefSeq and is a predicted model, not a curated record.
CCGACUUCCACUGAUGAUGCGCCUCCGUAUUUCAUGGCUAACGUUAUUGUCAGCCGUCAGCAAGGAUCCAAGGACUCGUCUGUAGGGAUUAUGAGAGGUUAGAAGCAGAGUAUAGUUAAAACAAAAUAUGUUCGUGAACCAACGAACUGUUUAACUAGUACUGAAAAUGAAAUCAAUGCAGAUCAUAGUAGGCAUAGGUUUACGUAAGAAAAAGAGGAAUCAGUUUGUUGAUGUGUUUUGGAAAUAAUAAACGUGCUUUUAUAAUGAUGAAGAAA